CAGCAGCCGCGGUAAUACAGAGGUGGCGGACGUUGUUCGGAUUUACUGGGCGUAAAGGGUCCGCAGGCGGAUCGGUAUGUCAGGUGUGAAAGCCCACAGCUUAACUGUGGAAUUGCAUUUGAAACUGCCGGUCUAGAGUACUGGAGGGGAGAAGGGAACACUUGGUGUAGCGGUGAAAUGCGUAGAUAUCAAGUGGAACACCGGAGGCGAAGGCGCUUCUCUGGACAGAUACUGACGCUCAUGGACGAAAGCUAGGGUAGCGAAAGGGAUUAGAUACCCCUGUAGUCCUAGCCGUAAACGGUGUGCACUAGACGUGGGUGGAUUUACCCCCAUCCGUGUCUGAGCUAACGCAUUAAGUGCACCGCCUGGGGAGUACGGUCGCAAGAUUAAAACUCAAAGGAAUUGACGGGGACCCGCACAAGCGGUGGAGCAUGUGGCUUAAUUCGAUGCAACGCGAAGGACCUUACCUGGACUUGACAUAUAGCUGCAUACGACCUGAAAGGGACGUACCCUUCGAGGGUGCUAUACAGGUGCUGCAUGGCUGUCGUCAGCUCGUGCCGUGAGGUGUCGGGUUAAGUCCCGCAACGAGCGCAACCCCUGUGUUUAGUUGCCAGCACGUAAUGGUGGGAACUCUAAACAGACUGCUUGUGAAAACAAGAGGAAGGUGGGGAUGACGUCAAGUCAGUAUGGUCCUUAUGUCCAGGGCUGCACACGUGCUACAAUGGGCGAUACAAUAGGAAGCCAAACCGCGAGGUGGAGCAAAUCCUCAAAAUCGCCCCCAGUUCGGAUUGAAGUCUGAAACUCGACUUCAUGAAGUUGGAAUCGCUAGUAAAGGCGUAUCAGCUACGACGCCUUGAAUACGUUCCCGGGUCUUGUACACACCGCCCGUCACAUCAUGGAAGUUUGUUGCACCCGAAGUCGCUGAUCUAACCUGUCAAAGGAAGAAGGCGCCUAAGGUGCGAUAGAUAACUGGGAUGAAGUCGUAACAAGGUAACCGUA
RNAcentral lists this ribosomal RNA (999 nucleotides) under uncultured Verrucomicrobiota bacterium. RNAcentral describes it as "bacterial SSU rRNA". It matches the Rfam family "Bacterial small subunit ribosomal RNA", at positions 509 to 1504 of the family's 1533-position model. The record is from RNAcentral. Lineage: Bacteria; Pseudomonadati; Verrucomicrobiota.